RNAcentral lists this transfer RNA (83 nucleotides) under Sphaerodactylus townsendi. RNAcentral's name for it is "tRNA-Ala". Lineage: Eukaryota; Metazoa; Chordata; Lepidosauria; Squamata; Sphaerodactylidae. The record is from RNAcentral.
GAAAAGGUUCGCCAUCACUGGCUUAGUGGCAGAGCAUUUGUUUUGCAUACAGAAGGUCAUAGGUUCUAACCCCAGCCUCUCCA